This is a non-coding RNA of Vicia faba (fava bean), 429 nucleotides long. NCBI's taxonomy places the organism in Eukaryota, Viridiplantae, Streptophyta, Magnoliopsida, Fabales, Fabaceae. The record is from the annotation of a GenBank genome assembly.
AUGGUUCAGAAGCGGAACUUCCUUAACAAUCUGAGGAGAGGUUUAGGUAUUGUUUCCAAUUUCCCUCGUUGGUACAUUACAGAGGUACUUCUACUUCCGAAUUCGAGAAGUCCUUCUCGAAAGAGUCAUCUAAGGAUUUUCGACUUCAACUUGUCUUUAAGCCGGCCAGGCCAGUCUACUUCUUCAAGUGAGGACUUGCUCGACCCAGCUCGGUUCUCUCACUACCCGAAAUCCUUAUCUUAUAUAAUAUGGAUCCGAGAAUUUCCCUUAAGAUCCAGUGCCUGCAGAAGUAAAGUGAUAGGAGAAGCUGCUGGUGGGAAAUAUCUAUUCAUCACACCCUUCUCACCCGAGCCUCAUGGAAAGAACCUUGGUCUCCAAUCUGCAGAUGAGUGUCUUCCCUCUUAUCCCUUCCCCAUUGUUUGGGUUUAA